GAGCACUGUUCGUGACCUGUUAGUCUGGCUGUGGCUUACAGGUUCCAUUCCAGUGCUACAGGAGUUCCAACGACACAUGACUGACUGACUGGUGGCUCUCAGCUUCAGGUCUUGGAGACAAAG
Small nucleolar RNA from Equus asinus (donkey), 123 nucleotides. The record is from Ensembl. NCBI's taxonomy places the organism in Eukaryota, Metazoa, Chordata, Mammalia, Perissodactyla, Equidae.